AGAGAGGUGGCUGAGUGGUUGAAAGCGACGGAUUGCUAAUCCGUUAUACGUUUUUAAAGCGUAUCGAGGGUUCGAAUCCCUUCCUCUCUG
This 90-nucleotide transfer RNA is filed under the name Candidatus Buchananbacteria bacterium CG10_big_fil_rev_8_21_14_0_10_33_19. RNAcentral describes it as "tRNA-Ser". It matches the Rfam family "tRNA". Rfam says of the family: Transfer RNA (tRNA) molecules are approximately 80 nucleotides in length. Their secondary structure includes four short double-helical elements and three loops (D, anti-codon, and T loops). RNAcentral also lists the same sequence under 1 other name. Lineage: Bacteria; Candidatus Buchananiibacteriota. The record is from RNAcentral.